This 639-nucleotide ribosomal RNA is filed under the name Vibrio sp. E45bio. RNAcentral's name for it is "bacterial SSU rRNA". It matches the Rfam family "Bacterial small subunit ribosomal RNA", at positions 35 to 653 of the family's 1533-position model. The record is from RNAcentral. Lineage: Bacteria; Pseudomonadati; Pseudomonadota; Gammaproteobacteria; Vibrionales; Vibrionaceae.
GCUGGCGGCAGGCCUAACACAUGCAAGUCGAGCGGAAACGACACUAACAAUCCUUCGGGUGCGUUAAUGGGCGUCGAGCGGCGGACGGGUGAGUAAUGCCUAGGAAAUUGCCUUGAUGUGGGGGAUAACCAUUGGAAACGAUGGCUAAUACCGCAUGAUGCCUACGGGCCAAAGAGGGGGACCUUCGGGCCUCUCGCGUCAAGAUAUGCCUAGGUGGGAUUAGCUAGUUGGUGAGGUAAUGGCUCACCAAGGCGACGAUCCCUAGCUGGUCUGAGAGGAUGAUCAGCCACACUGGAACUGAGACACGGUCCAGACUCCUACGGGAGGCAGCAGUGGGGAAUAUUGCACAAUGGGCGCAAGCCUGAUGCAGCCAUGCCGCGUGUAUGAAGAAGGCCUUCGGGUUGUAAAGUACUUUCAGUUGUGAGGAAGGGGGUGUUGUUAAUAGCAACAUCUCUUGACGUUAGCAACAGAAGAAGCACCGGCUAACUCCGUGCCAGCAGCCGCGGUAAUACGGAGGGUGCGAGCGUUAAUCGGAAUUACUGGGCGUAAAGCGCAUGCAGGUGGUUCAUUAAGUCAGAUGUGAAAGCCCGGGGCUCAACCCCGGAACUGCAUUUGAAACUGGUGAACUAGAGUACUGUA